Molecule: long non-coding RNA, 2053 nt
Organism: Hordeum vulgare subsp. vulgare (domesticated barley)
Lineage: Eukaryota; Viridiplantae; Streptophyta; Magnoliopsida; Poales; Poaceae
Exons: 9
Source: RefSeq, a predicted model, not a curated record
AGCCCAAACCAACUGCUUAUCUUUUUCUUUUUCUAUUAUCGGGUCGCCUCUCCUAGCUCCGGCCGCCGGCCGGCGAACGUGGCCGCUCCCAGACGUCUGCUGCUACUAAGGCAGCCGACCGACACGUUUCAGUUCCGACUGAACCGACCGAGCCUUAACUCUUACUAUUAGGUUGCUCCAGUCAGUCCUAAACCAGAACCACCCAACUUCCGCCGCCGGCGACAAGCUGCAGUGGAGCACCUCAUCCGCCGCCGGCGACCAGCUGCAGUCCCAUCUCCAUCCAUCAAUCAGAUCCCCCGGUGCACCUCCCUGGCCGUCAAGGAUGCCGCGCGCUAGUGGGAGGUCCAGCACGCCUGCCUGCUCACUGCUCACUGGCUCAUCGCAGCGCAGCCGGGGCCCUCAACCACCAGGUCUCCGGCGCGUAUCAAUCCUCAGAGGACGCUGGCUCAUCUGCGUCUCCUCGCUGCUAUGACAGGGACGUCGACGACCUCCUCUCCUCCCCGCCCCUCCAGCUCCAAUGGCAGCAUGCCCGCCAUCUGCUCGAUGAAAUGUCUGUGCCCAACCACCACCAGCAUCUGUGCCCAAUCUACUCGAGGGCAGGCAAUGGAGGCGAGCCCAAGCAAAGCAUGAUGCUCACACAACCGUCGAAAUUCUAAGUUCGUAUGUGUGUUUUGCAUAUCACAAAGAUAUCAGCAUGCAUGAUGCCAACCUUCCUGAGAUGCUUUCCUCAUGUUGAGUCGCUGCAUAUCACGCCUGCAGAAUGUGAUCAGGCUCAGCCUCAAGUUCCCCGAAGAUCAGGCUGUUCCCAAAGUAAAUGUAUCGUUGCGCAUCUGGGCGAUGCCGUUCGGUGAGUUCCACGGAGGGGGAGCAAUACGAGCUUUCCUUCCUUCGCUACUUCUUCAGGAGUGCAUGUGUUUUAAAUUAUGCACCCGUUUUUAUGGCCAAUCCAAGGUUCGCUUCAACGUCCGUGGAUGAGAUGCUAUACAGCGUGAAGAAUACGAGUAAAUGGAAAUGCCCUAGUGAAUUUAAGGUGGUUGUCUACGAGAGUACUGGUCCUGACUCCUGAGGGAGGCGAUGAACUCUACUCCAACAAAAAAUAUCAGGAAGCAGCAGCGGAUAUACCGAAGCUCUGAGAAAGAAUCUGAAUGAACCCGCAAGCUGUGCCUGUAGGUCUGGAUGAUGCGGGAAAAUGUAUUGAGCUGGAUCCUACUUAUCUGAUGGGUUAUGCAUGGAAGAAGUUGCAGUAGUCAGGAAAGAAAUUUCUGAUGAGUCGCUUGAGACGGAUUGAAUCUGAAAAAAACAGUCAAGACACCAGAGGCAAACCAGGUGCAACGACAGAAAGAAAAUGAGGAACAUUGUAAUUGAUGGCUUUAAGAGAUGUGUGACAUGCAUCGAGAGGUCUAAAGGCGGUGACGUUGGGCCUGAGGAUUUAGUAGACAUUUUGGUACAUGGAAGAAGUUGCAGUAUUCAAGAAGGAAGUUUCUCAUGAUCGCUCGAGGUGGAUCUAAUCUAAACGAGUGGCCAGGAUAUCAGAGGCAGACAAGGUCCAACGGAAGGAAGAAACCAAGGAACAUCUUUCCAAAAUACAACAAGAGUUGCAACAAGUUAACGCACGACAAGAUGAAGUUGCUAAUGAGCUACAGAAAGCUAAUAAGCACAAUGAGCAUGUUCAACAUCAGCUCUCGGAGUCCAAAAGGGGUCAUAGUGAGGAACUUUAUAGAGCAAUGAGCAUAGUUUGAAUCUUGAACAUCAGUUCUCGAAAUCCAAAGAGCGGUAUAAUCAGCUUCAGUCCAAGCAUGACGACUUGCUAAGGAACGGGAUACUGCACUCAAAGAGGUAGAAAAGUUACGCCGGAGAAGAAGUAGGGUGAUGCCCUGCCAGUUUUUAUUAUCUGAACUGAAGUGAGCAACAGAAAAGUGCAUACUUCAUUGAAGUUCAGAGAAUGCAGCUUUGCCUCUGGUGUUCUCCGAAACAUGAAAGUUGUAAUAAAGGUCCUAAUCUCUAGUGAAAUCAUGAAUCAGUCUCAAGGGCAUGAACCUGGUUAAAUUUGUCA